Molecule: ribosomal RNA, 253 nt
Filed under: uncultured bacterium
Lineage: Bacteria
Description: partial 16S ribosomal RNA
Rfam family: Bacterial small subunit ribosomal RNA
Source: RNAcentral
UACGUAGGGAGCAAGCGUUGUCCGGAAUCAUUGGGCGUAAAGCGCGCGUAGGUGGCCCUGUAAGUCCGUUGUGAAAGUCAAAGGCUCAACCUUUGAAAGCCGAUGGAUACUGCAGGACUAGAGUACGGAAGAGGCGAGUGGAAUUCCUGGUGUAGCGGUGGAAUGCGCAGAUAUCAGGAGGAACACCGGUGGCGAAGGCGGGUCUCUGGGCAGUAACUGACGCUGAGAAGCGAAAGCGUGGGGAGCGAACAGG